This 114-nucleotide small nuclear RNA is filed under the name Tupaia belangeri chinensis (Chinese tree shrew). Its description in RNAcentral is "Tupaia chinensis (Chinese tree shrew) U4 spliceosomal RNA". It matches the Rfam family "U4 spliceosomal RNA". From Rfam's summary of the family: U4 small nuclear RNA (U4 snRNA) is a component of the major U2-dependent spliceosome. The structure of U4 snRNA from yeast and human has been reported. The record is from Rfam by way of RNAcentral. Lineage: Eukaryota; Metazoa; Chordata; Mammalia; Scandentia; Tupaiidae.
AGCUUUGCGCAGUGGCAGUAUCGUAGCCAAUGAGGUUUAUCCGAGGCGCGAUUAUUGCUAAUUGAAAAACACACCAGACAUGUGCACACGCAUGCAUGAAAUUCCAAGAAAGGA